CACAGACUGACAUGUACUUGUCAUUAAGAAUGAAAUUCCUCGGGGCGCCUGGGUGGCUCAGUCGGUUGAACGUCCAACUUCAGCUCAGGUCACGAUCUCGCGGUCCGUGAGU
Molecule: long non-coding RNA, 112 nt
Organism: Lynx canadensis (Canada lynx)
Lineage: Eukaryota; Metazoa; Chordata; Mammalia; Carnivora; Felidae
Exons: 3
Source: RefSeq, a predicted model, not a curated record